GACGAACGCUGGCGGCGUGCCUAAUACAUGCAAGUUGAGCGAUGAAGAUUGGUGCUUGCACCAAUUUGAAGAGCAGCGAACGGGUGAGUAACGCGUGGGGAAUCUGCCUUAGAGCGGGGGACAACAUUUGGAAACGAAUGCUAAUACCGCAUAACAACUUUAAACAUAAGAUUUAAGUUUGAAAGAUGCAAUUGCAUCACUCAAAGAUGAUCCCGCGUUGUAUUAGCUAGUUGGUGAGGUAAAGGCUCACCAAGGCGAUGAUACAUAGCCGACCUGAGAGGGUGAUCGGCCACAUUGGGACUGAGACACGGCCCAAACUCCUACGGGAGGCAGCAGUAGGGAAUCUUCGGCAAUGGACGAAAGUCUGACCGAGCAACGCCGCGUGAGUGAAGAAGGUUUUCGGAUCGUAAAACUCUGUUGGUAGAGAAGAACGUUGGUGAGAGUGGAAAGCUCAUCCAGUGACGGUAACUAACCAGAAAGGGACGGCUAACUACGUG
This 497-nucleotide ribosomal RNA is filed under the name uncultured bacterium. RNAcentral describes it as "partial 16S ribosomal RNA". It matches the Rfam family "Bacterial small subunit ribosomal RNA", at positions 28 to 507 of the family's 1533-position model. The record is from RNAcentral.